CCAGCUCUGCUCAGAGAACAACUCUACUUCCUGGUUCAAGCAGAGACCCUACUCAAGCUUCAGAUGGCUGCAGGGUUCCCAGAUCCAGAUAGCAAAGAGCAAACCUGGAAGGAAACUGCUUUCCCUGUGGGUUGGUGUCACCAGUGCCCACGAGUCUAAAAGACCAAGUACCGAGGAGGGCAGGGGUCUGCAAGGCAGCACACAUCCUCCAGAAGUGGAUGGAGCUGGCCAUCUGAGCCAGGGGGCUCCAACACUCACUUGUCACAGAAGGCCAGCCCUGCUCUAUGGGGCAGGGAUCAGGAUCAAGUCGGAGGAAGGCAGCUGGGGGUUGGGGGGGUGGUGAGCAGAGGAUGCAUCUGGGUUGAAGACGCCCAGCUGUGCUAGAUGGUGGCUGUAUGAAUUCAGGCUGGUAGACACAUCUCUGGGGCUGCUUCUUUAUCCACUUGUCCUGCCUACCUUCAGGACUUUUCUGGAGAUUAAUAAGAAUCCUGGCUGGGAAUGGGCUCUGGAAGCUUGUAUACCACCAGAUGCAUUAUUG
Molecule: long non-coding RNA, 538 nt
Filed under: Fukomys damarensis (Damara mole-rat)
Lineage: Eukaryota; Metazoa; Chordata; Mammalia; Rodentia; Bathyergidae
Description: lncRNA (ENSFDAG00000028034.1)
Source: RNAcentral